ACAUGAAUAGGUGAUGGAGUUCACCUAAGAUUAACCGCUUUUAUAUAGCUGAUAACUCCUGCAGAAAA
This 68-nucleotide non-coding RNA is filed under the name Smithella sp. RNAcentral describes it as "Fluoride sequence". It matches the Rfam family "Fluoride riboswitch aptamer (crcB RNA motif)". Lineage: Bacteria; Pseudomonadati; Thermodesulfobacteriota; Syntrophia; Syntrophales; Smithellaceae. The record is from RNAcentral.